RNAcentral lists this ribosomal RNA (454 nucleotides) under uncultured bacterium. RNAcentral describes it as "bacterial SSU rRNA". It matches the Rfam family "Bacterial small subunit ribosomal RNA", at positions 8 to 507 of the family's 1533-position model. The record is from RNAcentral.
AGAGUUUGAUCAUGGCUCAGAACGAACGCUGGCGGCAUGCCUAACACAUGCAAGUCGAACGAGACCUUCGGGUCUAGUGGCGCACGGGUGCGUAACGCGUGGGAAUCUGCCCUUGGGUUCGGAAUAACAGUUAGAAAUGACUGCUAAUACCGGAUAAUGUCUUCGGACCAAAGAUUUAUCGCCCAGGGAUGAGCCCGCGUAGGAUUAGCUAGUUGGUGAGGUAAAAGGCUCACCAAGGCGACGAUCCUUAGCUGGUCUGAGAGGAUGAUCAGCCACACUGGGACUGAGACACGGCCCAGACUCCUACGGGAGGCAGCAGUGGGGAAUAUUGGACAAUGGGCGAAAGCCUGAUCCAGCAAUGCCGCGUGAGUGAUGAAGGCCUUAGGGUUGUAAAGCUCUUUUACCCGGGAUGAUAAUGACAGUACCGGGAGAAUAAGCCCCGGCUAACUCCGUG